Molecule: ribosomal RNA, 392 nt
Filed under: uncultured bacterium
Lineage: Bacteria
Description: partial 16S ribosomal RNA
Rfam family: Bacterial small subunit ribosomal RNA
Source: RNAcentral
AUACGUAGGGGGCGAGCGUUGUCCGGAUUUACUGGGCGUAAAGGGUGAGUAGGCGGUUAUAUGUGUCAGAUGUAAAAGGCUAUGGCUUAACCAUAGUUAGCAUUUGAAACUGUAUGACUUGAGUGCAGGAGAGGUAAGUGGAAUUCCUAGUGUAGCGGUGAAAUGCGUAGAUAUUAGGAGGAACACCAGUGGCGAAGGCGACUUACUGGACUGUAACUGACGCUGAGUCACGAAAGCGUGGGUAGCAAACAGGAUUAGAUACCCUGGUAGUCCACGCUGUAAACGAUGAGUGCUAGGUGUUGGCCAGCGAUGGUCAGUGCCGCAGUAAACACAUUAAGCACUACGCCUGGGGAGUACGGUCGCAAGACUGAAACUCAAAUGAAUUGACGGGG